Molecule: long non-coding RNA, 225 nt
Filed under: Fukomys damarensis (Damara mole-rat)
Lineage: Eukaryota; Metazoa; Chordata; Mammalia; Rodentia; Bathyergidae
Description: lncRNA (ENSFDAG00000033018.1)
Source: RNAcentral
GCAGGAACAGCCGAGGCAAAGCCAUGCAGGAGGCAGAAGGCUCUGUGUGGAUCAUAGCCCAGACCUUGACUCUCCAAAGUCUUCAGGAAACAACUGUUACCAUGGGAGGCCUUAGGUUGCUUGUAGCUGACCUGAGGCAUCACCCCCAGGAACAAGUGCAGUGGACUUGGUCCUACAAGCAGAGCAGACCAGACCAGAGGCACAAAGCUGGAAACCCCACUUUCC